AUAACUUUCUUGACCUUUUGGCUAAGAUAAAGUGCAGUAUCUGCAUUUUAAUAUCUGUCAUGUGGGCCAUAUGUCCACUUUAAUAUUAUUUUUUUUGUGAGAAGAGUCCACUUUAAUUUAUUUUUUUGGAGCGCCUAUAAAACUGGCUUGCCACUACACUCUCAUGUCCUGCAAACACUAU
RNAcentral lists this small nuclear RNA (181 nucleotides) under Zea mays. RNAcentral describes it as "U2 spliceosomal RNA". It matches the Rfam family "U2 spliceosomal RNA". From Rfam's summary of the family: U2 is a small nuclear RNA (snRNA) component of the spliceosome (involved in pre-mRNA splicing). Complementary binding between U2 snRNA (in an area lying towards the 5' end but 3' to hairpin I) and the branchpoint sequence (BPS) of the intron results the bulging out of an unpaired adenosine, on the BPS, which initiates a nucleophilic attack at the intronic 5' splice site, thus starting the first of two transesterification reactions that mediate splicing. Lineage: Eukaryota; Viridiplantae; Streptophyta; Magnoliopsida; Poales; Poaceae. The record is from Rfam by way of RNAcentral.